This 74-nucleotide transfer RNA is filed under the name Blattabacterium sp. (Nauphoeta cinerea). Its description in RNAcentral is "tRNA-Ala". The record is from RNAcentral. Lineage: Bacteria; Pseudomonadati; Bacteroidota; Flavobacteriia; Flavobacteriales; Blattabacteriaceae.
UCGACUCCGAUAUUCUCCAUUUAUUUUAGAAAGUUCUUUGACAUACAUAAUAUACAAUGAUGAAAAGAUAAAAG